GACGAACGCUGGCGGCGUGCUUAACACAUGCAAGUCGAACGGAAAGGCCCUGCUUGCAGGGUGCUCGAGUGGCGAACGGGUGAGUAACACGUGGGUGAUCUGCCCCUUACUUUGGGAUAAGCCUGGGAAACUGGGUCUAAUACUGGAUAGGACCAUGCUGUAGGUGGUGUGGUGGAAAGAUUAGUUUCGGUAAGGGAUGAGCUCUCGGCCUAUCAGCUUGUUGGUGGGGUAAUGGCCUACCAAGGCGUCGACGGGUAGCCGGCCUGAGAGGGUGGACGGCCACAUUGGGACUGAGAUACGGCCCAGACUCCUACGGGAGGCAGCAGUGGGGAAUAUUGCACAAUGGGCGCAAGCCUGAUGCAGCGACGCCGCGUGGGGGAUGACGGCCUUCGGGUUGUAAACUCCUUUCAGCCAUGACGAAGCCCUUGUGGUGACGGUAGUGGUAGAAGAAGCACCGGCUAACUACGUG
This 469-nucleotide ribosomal RNA is filed under the name uncultured bacterium. RNAcentral's name for it is "partial 16S ribosomal RNA". It matches the Rfam family "Bacterial small subunit ribosomal RNA", at positions 28 to 507 of the family's 1533-position model. The record is from RNAcentral.